Alexandromys fortis (reed vole) is the source of this 1373-nucleotide long non-coding RNA. RefSeq lists it as uncharacterized. The record is from RefSeq and is a predicted model, not a curated record. The transcript has 3 exons. Lineage: Eukaryota; Metazoa; Chordata; Mammalia; Rodentia; Cricetidae.
CUGAGGCUCAUGAACAAAUGUGAGCAGAGCAUAUUUUUUUUUAAAAAAAUAUAUUUAUUUAUUAUGUAUACAAUAUUCUGUCUGUGUGUAUGUCUGCAGUCCAGAAGAAGGCACCAGACCUCACUACAGAUCCUUAUGAGCCACCAUGUGGUUGCUGGGAAUUGAACUCAGGGCGUUUGGAAGAGCAGGCCACUGAGCCAUCUCUCCAGCAGAGCAUAGUUUGAAUGGCAGAAUGUGAACCUUAACUCCAAAGCCCACACCUUUAGCUUCACACCCUCCUGGUUUCCACAGAUAAUCUAGGCAACCAAUAACUGGGAGUUACAGGGGCCACGAGAGAAAUGGUUCUUCCACCCCAGUGCCUCGAACCCUCAUGUUUGGUGUUAAAGUCUGUGUGCCUGUUGUGGAGUUGAUUUAGGAGGCUACUUGGUGAUCGCAGGCAUCUAGGAACACAGAAGGACGCAGAGCUGUGCUACACUCCCCCAGGCAUCGGUUUGCUCUCUCGGGUGCUCAAAAGGAAACGAAGAGGAAGACAGGAGAGACUUUCAUGAUUUCUCCCCGUGACUUCCAGCCCCCAACACCUGCUCGUAUUCGGUGUGUCCCCGGGCCCCAGCAUCCACAAAGGGGAACCAAGGAAAAGCAAUGAAAAUUAGGAUAAGUAAGACGGAAGAGGAGCCGGUUGGGAAAGCAAGCCGGGCUCAGGGGAGGGGCGAAUGGGCAACUGCACGGUGAUAGGGCAUUGGGAACUCAGUGCCGCCAGUGCCAAGAGGGGCCAUGCUCAGUAGAGUGCACAGAGGUCACAAGACACAGGGUCUGGCAGGUCAGCAGAUGGUGCUGAUCUUAAACCAGGAAGACAUCCGUUCAGGUCUCGGAGCCUGAGCGGAAGGGUACUACACAAUCACGAACAACUUUAGUAAUAAAUUUCACUGGAUGCGUGUGUAUGCUCGUCGGGUGGGCUGCACACACGUGCUACGGUGCACAUUGCGCAUGUGGUGGAGGUCAGAGGUCAAUUUGGAGGGAGUCAGGUCUCGCUCUCUACCAAGUGGGACCCAGGGAUCGAACUCAAGCUUGGCGGCAAGUGCCUUUAUCCGCUCAGCCUUAUCACUGGCUACUGGGUUGUUUUCUGACUCCGAGGCUCACCAAUUUGGAUAGACAGUUCAACACAGGGGCUCAGGAAUCCUCCCGGCUCCUCCCAGGAAUUCCCCAGGACACUAGCCCUGGCUUUGCAGGAUGGGAAGCAUUAGAAUCGCCCACUAAAGCAAAAGCGUGCUGUAAUUGAUUAGUGAUGUCUGCCACGGCUAAGCAGCAUCCAUUUCCCAGCCCAGGCUUGGCGUGCUGCUGAUCAUAAGGACCCAGCUUUGAAGGAGGUCAAACGU